Molecule: ribosomal RNA, 253 nt
Filed under: uncultured bacterium
Lineage: Bacteria
Description: partial 16S ribosomal RNA
Rfam family: Bacterial small subunit ribosomal RNA
Source: RNAcentral
UACGUAGGGAGCGAGCGUUGUUCGGAUUUACUGGGCGUAAAGCGCGCGUAGGCGGCUUUGUAAGUCGGGUGUGAAAGCCUUCGGCUCAACCGAGGACACGCGCCCGAAACUGCAUGGCUCGAGUCUAGGAGAGGAGAGCGGAAUUCCCAGUGUAGCGGUGAAAUGCGUAGAUAUUGGGAGGAACACCGGUGGCGAAGGCGGCUCUCUGGACUAGUACUGACGCUGAGGCGCGAAAGCUAGGGGAGCGAACGGG